AGUGAACGCUGGCGGCGUGCCUAAUACAUGCAAGUCGAACGGAGUGGCGCACGGGUGAGUAAUGUAUAGCUAAUCUGCCCUACACUAGAGGACAACAGCUGGAAACGACUGCUAAUACUCUCUAGUGUAGGUUGAGGCUAUAUUGUAUCAGCUAGUUGGUGAGGUAAUGGCUCACCAAGGGUAUGACGCAUAACUGGUCUGAGAGGAUGAUCAGUCACACUGGAAGUGAGGCACGGUCCAGGCUCCUACGGGAAGCAGCAGUAGGGAAUAGUGCUCAAUGGGGGAGACUCUGAAGCAGCAACGGCGCGUGGAGGAUGACAAUUUACGGAGCGUAAACUCCUUUUGUUAGGGAAGCGGUACCUAACGAAUAAGCACCGGCUAACUCCGUGCCAGCAGCCGCGGUAAUUC
Molecule: ribosomal RNA, 408 nt
Filed under: uncultured bacterium
Lineage: Bacteria
Description: partial 16S ribosomal RNA
Rfam family: Bacterial small subunit ribosomal RNA
Source: RNAcentral